This is a long non-coding RNA of Mirounga angustirostris (Northern elephant seal), 659 nucleotides long. RefSeq lists it as uncharacterized. The record is from RefSeq and is a predicted model, not a curated record. The transcript has 3 exons. NCBI's taxonomy places the organism in Eukaryota, Metazoa, Chordata, Mammalia, Carnivora, Phocidae.
AGAGAGAGAGCUCGAGGCCAUGUGUGGAAGCAGAGGGGGGCAGAGAAGGAGAGAGAGAGAGGGAGCUGAAUCUUAAGCAGACUCUACGCUAAGCUUGGAGCUCCAUGUGCAGCUAGAUCCCACGACCCUGAGAUCAUGACCUGAGCAGAAACCAAGAGCUGGAUGUCCUGAACCACCCAGGACCCCCUAGGGCAUGAAAAAGGAAAGGAAAACAAUAGGCUUGUCAUGAAAGCGAAGAGGAUGAGAAUGAGAAUUUGAAAAUGUAGAGUUUACAGUAGAUUGGACCAAAAACAAUUACUUGCUCAGAUAGUCUGAGCAUGGAGGAUUCAGCUUCCAAAGAACAGUGAAACAAUACAUCCAGCGAUACCUGUCAAUGGCCCAUUCCUGUUUUUGGUGAGAAGCAAACACAUUUUGUCUACAGAGCAUCAACCAAAGAGUAGUUUCAAGCCUGUUUCUAGGUAAUGUUUGGCAUUAACAUUUGAUUGAUAGUUCUAACUAAAUGGCUAUUCCAAUUUUUUUAUCCUGAUUAAUUCUGUUUCUCCAUUUAAAUUCCUAUUCACCAUCUAUAUACUCUCAUUAUUUUAUUGCUUUACUCUUGGUAAAAUGAACAUUAGGAACUAUAACUCUUUCCUUGACUGAUUUUAAAUAAAUUAAUUAGA